RNAcentral lists this ribosomal RNA (253 nucleotides) under uncultured bacterium. RNAcentral describes it as "partial 16S ribosomal RNA". It matches the Rfam family "Bacterial small subunit ribosomal RNA", at positions 524 to 776 of the family's 1533-position model. The record is from RNAcentral.
UACGUAGGGUGCGAGCGUUGUCCGGAAUUAUUGGGCGUAAAGAGCUCGUAGGCGGUUUGUUGCGUCUAUCGUGAAAACCUGCGGCUUAACUGUGGGCUUGCGGUGGAUACGGGCAGACUUGAGUUCGGUAGGGGAGACUGGAAUUCCUGGUGUAGCGGUGAAAUGCGCAGAUAUCAGGAGGAACACCAAUGGCGAAGGCAGCACUCUGGGACGUGACUGACGCUGAGACGCGAAAGCGUGGGGAGCAAACAGG